AAUAAAAAAUCAAUAAUAAAAAAUAAAUUACAGUACUUUCAUUCAUAAUUUACAUGUUAGAAGAUUCAUUAUUAACAAUCAUUGUGAGUUCAGAGGAUAACAUUGUAAUUGUGCAGGAAAAUUACAACGUGUGUUAGUGAACUAAUAUAUACUGGAUUGGACCUUCGGACAUCUUAUUUCUGGACCUGCCAAUUUUAGCGCUCGCUUCAAAGCCCAUUGUGCCAAUUUUAGGGCUCACUUCGGACAACGUGUGUCUGCCAAUUUUACGCAGACAAACUGAAGAGAAUGAUGUUGCAAGCAAAGAUGGACUUCAUUGAAUUUGCUGUUCAGGUAUGUUUCUCGACCAAUGGAGGGGCAGGAACUCAUACAGAUGUAAGAAGUGGUUCUUUGGAUGAGGCCAUUAAGGUGUGCAUGGUUGGUGGCUUGCAAGGGAUUGUAUCUGAUGUAAAAGCUCUCUUUAAUACCAGGGGCAAUAGCAAGAAUCAAAGGGUGCAAGCUUUCUCUUGUAACUUGAUUUAAUUCUAAGAAGUUAAAUUUGACGUGGAAUUUCGCCAAGUCAAAUGACAAUACUUGUUUCUGACGUCUGCACAGUGAGGUGGUGUUCUUGAAACCGAACGUUUAAUGGGGGUUGAAGGGUUGAUUUUUUUUUCCCUGUUCAAGAGACCACAGAGGCAGUCACAGAUUUAACUAGCAAUGUAAACGGUGAAGAAGAGAGCUUGUUUGGAGAGGAUGGAAAGAUGCUACUAAAAACAAAGCCCCAAAUCUCAAAGGAUGAACUCUCAUUUGUUUUUACAAAGCUUAUCCCAGAAUCGAUCCAGUCUAAUUGAAGGCAUUAAACACUUACAGAUGCGCCCAAAACACUAGUCUUCUUUUUAACAAUUCCAUUGUAAAUGAAAGCCUUUUUUGUUCAUCUGUACUGAUUGUAGUCCACUCAAGUAUGAACAAGCUGUUACUUAAAGACUUUUCAUGUUUUGGGGCUAUUGAAUUAAGCUCAGCUUCGAAACGAAAAAUGAUGAUGCAUCCUGCUUCUCAUGAAGUGUCGAUCUGAAAUACUCUUUUAACAGCGGCAUCUGUACAUUUCCUUGGAUAUCAAUAAUGCUAUGGCUUGGUCUUAGGCCCAAAAGGGAAUGUCACUGGACCGUAGAUUGGUUUAGGCCCAUCUAUUGAAGUUCUUACAUACUUGAGCCCAUCCCAAAUACCAGUACAAAUCCAACAGAAAAACGAAGGGGCAUAAAUUCAACCGUAAAGUCGGGAAUUCUUUAUUGACACUUGUAAAGAAAGUAGGAACUCUGCAGGUACCCGUGUUGGAGCAACGAAAGAAAAGUUGUAGAGUUGCAUUUUUUAGGGAAGAGGACAAUUUCCCACCCAAAUUUUGUUGAAAUGAUAAAUAUAUACCUACAGCAAAUGAUAAAUA
Long non-coding RNA from Mangifera indica (mango), 1414 nucleotides. RefSeq lists it as uncharacterized. The record is from RefSeq and is a predicted model, not a curated record. NCBI's taxonomy places the organism in Eukaryota, Viridiplantae, Streptophyta, Magnoliopsida, Sapindales, Anacardiaceae. The transcript is spliced from 3 exons.